This 390-nucleotide unclassified non-coding RNA is filed under the name uncultured fungus. Its description in RNAcentral is "sequence contains ITS1". The stretch from base 1 to 108 matches the Rfam family "5.8S ribosomal RNA", at positions 50 to 154 of the family's 154-position model. Lineage: Eukaryota; Fungi. The record is from RNAcentral.
AAAAUGCGAUACGUGGUGUGAAUUGCAGGAUCCCGUGAAACCAUCGAGUUUUUUAACGCAAGUUGCGCCCGAAGCCUUUAGGCCGAGGGCACGUCUGCCUGGGCGUCACGCACCGUUGCCCUCCAAACCUCCGCAGUCCUUUAGUGGGAUUGUUGAGAUGUGCGGGGGUCGUAAAGUGGCUUCCCGUCGGCUUUGUCCUGCGGUUGGCCUAAAAAUGUAUCCCUAGUCGCGGUGCGCGCGGCAUUCGGUGGUCAUCGAUAGAUUUCGUUACCCCGCCGUGCGCUCCCGUGUUGCGAAGGAUGUCACCAGCAAACCCGAUGUCUCGCUCCCGUGUUGCGAAGGAUGUCACCAGCAAACCCCAGGUCAGGCGGGGCUACCCGCUGAAUUUAA